GAGACUCACUUGAGUCCAGGAGUUCAAGACCAGCCUGGGCAACACAGCAAGACCCUACCUCUUAAAAAAGAAAAUUAGUCGGCUGUGGUGGUGCAUGCCUGUAGUCCUAGCUACUCAAGAGGCUGAGAAAGGAGGAUUGCUUGAGCCCAGGAGGUUAAGGCUGCAGUGAGCCAAGAUUGCACCACUGCACUCCAGCCUGGGUGACAGAGCGAGACUCCGUCUCAAAAUAAAUAAAUAAAAUAAAAUGAGCUUUAGUAUUAAUAGUACCCAAAUGCGAAACUAGAGUUUGAUUUUCAAUCUUUCUUAAAAUGACAAAAAUUUCUUGGAUUAUUGGUCUGCUCUUAAUAAAAUACUGUAAAAAGUUUUUCUUACCUUUUAAGUAAUCUACCCAUAAAACAAAGAUUCUAUGCCUUAGCACGAUAAUUUUCUAUGUUGUCUUUAUGGUGUCCUCAAUUAUUUAAGGGAACCAAACCUCAUUUUUAAAAGAGCUAAGAUUUCCCUUACAAUCAUGUUACCUCCUAUAUUUACCUUUGAAAUCUUUAUCACUUUGAUUAAAUAGGUAACUAAGUACAGCUCCUAACUUAUGAUGGUUAAAUUUACAAUUUUUUGACUUUAUGAUAGUGUGAAGGUAAAACACAUUUAAUAUGCUCCUUGACUUACUACGAUGAGAUUACAUCUGGAUAAACCCAUUGUAAGCUGAAAAUAUGACAAUUGUUUUAUGUCAAUGCUUUUCUAAAAGCUCUUGCCAUCAACUACAGGCCAGAAUGCUUCAUCUUUAACAAAAGGGGACCAUUUCAGAUACCCAUGAAGAGGACCAUGCCAGGUUCAGAGGGUACAUGUGCGGAUUUGUUACUUGGAUAAUUUGCACGUCGCUGAGGUUUGGUGUACAAAUGAUCCUAUCACCCCGAGUAGUGAGCAUAGGACACGACAGAUCCUUACCUCACAAGGCCUGACCAGUGUCUUCAAUAAACCCACUUCCUUGUUUGUGAAACAUCUGGGGAAGUAUUAAAUGGGGGAAAGGAAGGAAUUAACAGCCCACCAAAAUGGUGUGAAAAUUACUUUAAACUCAAAACAUCUUCACAAUCAGCAGCCACAGAAAGAAACAUUAUCUAAACUUAGGCAGAGCCUCCUGAAUUACAGCUUCUAUGACCCCCUCUGAGGGAGUUUCCCGAUUGUGAGAAGACUCAUCCUAGGAUCAGCGAGUGAGGAUUUAGCUGUCCCUUAUCAUCACAAGGCCCAAUAGAAACUUCCCUACUUUCCCAUGGAGUCCAAACCCCACUCCCCCUCUCUGUUAAGUUGGUAUAUAAACCUUUAACUCUGCAGCCAUAAAAAAGAAUGAGAUCAUGUCCUUUGCAGGGAAGUGGGUGGAGCCUGUAAACCAUUAUCCUAAGCAAACUAACACAGGAACAAAUACUGCAUGUUCUCACUUAUAAGUGGGAGCUAAAGGAUGGGAACACAUGGACACACAGAGGGGAACAACACACACUGGGCCCUAUUGGAGGGUGGAGGUUGUGAGGAGGGAGAGGAUCAGAAAAAAUAACUAAUAGGUACUGGGCUUAAUGGCUGGGUGAUGAAAUAAUCUGUUCAACAAACCCUCAUGACACACGUUUACCUAUGUAUCAAACCUGCACUUGUACCCCUGAACUUAAAAUAAAAGCAAAAAACAAAAAACCAAAAACCUUUACCUCUGAGUAUUCAGGGAGUUGCCCAUUAUUGAAUAUUUCACAUGUACAUGUAAAUAAACCUUGUCCUUUCUUUUGUUAAUCUGUCCAUUGUUACUUAAUUCUCAGGCCUCUGACCAUUGAACCAAAGUGAGUAGAGAAAAAAAUUUUCCUCUUAGACUGUCUGGGC
RNAcentral lists this long non-coding RNA (1851 nucleotides) under Homo sapiens (human). RNAcentral's name for it is "HSALNT0247117". Lineage: Eukaryota; Metazoa; Chordata; Mammalia; Primates; Hominidae. The record is from RNAcentral.